RNAcentral lists this ribosomal RNA (216 nucleotides) under Glomeromycotina sp. RNAcentral's name for it is "partial small subunit ribosomal RNA". The stretch from base 92 to 216 matches the Rfam family "Eukaryotic small subunit ribosomal RNA", at positions 738 to 864 of the family's 1831-position model. The record is from RNAcentral. Lineage: Eukaryota; Fungi; Glomeromycota.
GGGUCAGUAGGUUGGUCGUGCCACCGGUACGUACUGGUCUCACUGAUUCCUCCUUCCUGAAGAACCGUAAUGCCAUUAAUUUGGUGCCGCGGGGAAACAGGACUGUUACUUUGAAAAAAUUAGAGUGUUUAAAGCAAGCUAACGCUUGAAUACAUUAGCAUGGAAUAAUGAAAUAGGACGAUCGAUCCUAUUUUGUUGGUUUCUAGGAUUGACGUA